AUCCAGGAGUGAGGGAUGCUGGAGUUCUUGCUCUGUGAGAAGGGCUUGACAGAAGCUGGGUGGAGGGAGAAUCUAACAUGGCCUCAAAACUCAAGCCCAGGCUAAGUGGAAGUUGCAUAGCUUGUAUUCGUGUCUGUUUUCUGAGAGUUGCUGAGGUACUCCAGGAGGAAGCGCUGAGAGCUGCUGCUCUGGAAGAAGAGAGAGGCUGAAAAGGAGGCAUUGAAGAAGUGGUGUUUGCCAUUGUUUUGUGGGACAUUGACACCCUGGAAGGGAUGGAACUAAAGGGUGACCUGGCUGGCAGGCCAAGUCACCACCACUGAGGUCCCGGGGAAAGAGAGGCAGAGGCUCGAAGUGCUAUCCUUUUUUGUAUGGCAAGAGAAGUCCAGAUCAAUGGAGCAUUUGCUGCAGGUGUGACGGGGGCGGGAGGGGGGGUGGCUGAGCCCAAAACAAUCCCUUCACCCCUUUUUGCCCAGUGUGAGGUUUGUACACCCCGUCACAAGGUGUGAUUGCCGUAUGGGCUGAUUGAAAUGUGCCAGCUUUAAUCUAGCUACCACAGGUUUUAGAGAACACUUCUUUUACGUGGAAAUGCUAGGCCAAUUGACAGUGACUGUGUAACACCUCUGUCAGAGACGUCUAAGUCAGGAAUAGUGGAGUGAAAUUGAGAAAGGGAAAAGUAAGGCCAAAGAUGAAGAAAAACGUCCUGACUGUGAGAUGCAUUCGGCAGUGGAAUAGUCUCCCAGGGAGAAAUGAUGGAGGCCUCAUGGCUUGGAACUUUUCAAAUCAGAUUGGACACAGGACUCACAAAUAUACUAUAGGCAAUGGGCUAGAAUGACGCAAAGAGGCCUUUUCCAUCUGUGAUUCUAUGGUAAUGUAAUAAAUCCGUGGCCACCUAGAGCUUCAAGGUUAUUGCUGAGCUGCACAAUGUGGCAGUUUUGAAAUUUCGGGCAACAGUGGGAAUAGAACCUACACCUCUGUUCUGACAGCACAGGCCCCGCCCCUUAAAGGAGAAUUACUGUUAGCAUUAUAGGGCUUAUGACAAACAUCGAU
Molecule: long non-coding RNA, 1047 nt
Organism: Dermochelys coriacea (leatherback sea turtle)
Lineage: Eukaryota; Metazoa; Chordata; Testudines; Dermochelyidae
Exons: 3
Source: RefSeq, a predicted model, not a curated record